GACCUCAAAUCAGGUAGGACUACCCGCUGAACUUAAGCAUAUCAAUAAGCGGAGGAAAAGAAACUAACAAGGAUUCCCCUAGUAACUGCGAGUGAAGCGGGAAAAGCUCAAAUUUAAAAUCUGGCGGUCUUUGGCCGUCCGAGUUGUAAUCUAGAGAAGUGUUACCCGCGCUGGACCGUGUAUAAGUCUCCUGGAAUGGAGUGUCAUAGAGGGUGAGAAUCCCGUCUUUGACACGGACUGCCAGUGCUUUGUGGUACGCUCUCAAAGAGUCGAGUUGUUUGGGAAUGCAGCUCAAAAUGGGUGGUAAAUUCCAUCUAAAGCUAAAUAUUGGCGAGAGACCGAUAGCGAACAAGUACCGUGAGGGAAAGAUGAAAAGAACUUUGGAAAGAGAGUUAAACAGUACGUGAAAUUGCUGAAAGGGAAACGCUUGAAGUCAGUCGCGUUGUCCGGGAAUCAACCUUGCUUUUGCUGGGCGUACUUUCCGGUUGACGGGUCAACAUCAAUUUUGACCGUUGGAUAAAGGUUAAGGGAAUGUGGCAUCUUCGGAUGUGUUAUAGCCCUUGGUCGCAUACAACGAUUGGGAUUGAGGAACUCAGCACGCCGCAAGGCCGGGAAUUUAUUCCACGUUCGUGCUUAGGAUGUUGGCAUAAUGGCUUUAAUCGACCCGUCUUGAAACACGGACCAAGGAGUCUAACAUGCCUGCGAGUGUUUGGGUGGUAAACCCGAGCGCGUAAUGAAAGUGAAAGGUUGAGAUCCCUGUCGUGGGGAGCAUCGACGCCCGGACCAGACCUUUUGUGACGGAUCCGCGGUAGAGCAUGUAUGUUGGGACCCGAAAGAUGGUGAACUAUGCCUGAAUAGGGUGAAGCCAGAGGAAACUCUGGUGGAGGCUCGUAGCGAUUCUGACGUGCAAAUCGAUCGUCAAAUUUGGGUAUAGGGGCGAAAGACUAAUCGAACCAUCUAGUAGCUGGUUCCU
RNAcentral lists this ribosomal RNA (973 nucleotides) under Psilocybe subcoprophila. RNAcentral's name for it is "LSU rRNA". It matches the Rfam family "Eukaryotic large subunit ribosomal RNA", at positions 1 to 959 of the family's 3401-position model. Lineage: Eukaryota; Fungi; Basidiomycota; Agaricomycetes; Agaricales; Agrocybaceae. The record is from RNAcentral.